Coturnix japonica (Japanese quail) is the source of this 2457-nucleotide long non-coding RNA. NCBI's taxonomy places the organism in Eukaryota, Metazoa, Chordata, Aves, Galliformes, Phasianidae. The record is from Ensembl.
UGGGUCCCUAUGUGUCUCUAUGUGUCCCUAUGGGUCUCUAUGGGGUCUGUAUGUGUCUCUAUGGGUCUCUAUGGGUCCCUGUAGGUUCCUGUAGGUCUCUCUAUGGGUCUCCCUAUAGGUCCCUAUAGGUCUCUAUGUGUCUCUAUGGGUCUCUGUAUAGAUCACUCCCUGGGUUCCCUAUGUGUCUCUAUGGGGUCUGUAUGUAUCUCUAUCUGUCCCUAUAUCCUAUAGGUCACUCCCUGGGUUCCCUAUGGGUCCCUAUGUGUCUCUAUGGGUCCCUAUGUGUCCCUAUGGGUCCCUAUGGGUCUCUAUGUAUCUCUAUCUGUCCCUAUAUCCUACAGGUCACUCCCUGGGCUCCCUAUGUGUCCCUAUAGGUCUCUAUGUCUCCCUAUAGGUCUCUAUGUGUCCCUAUAGGUCCCUAUAGGUCUCUAUGUGUCUCUCUAUAGGUCACUCCCUUGGUUCCCCUCUGGGCGAUUUGUUGCUGUUCAAUUUCAGCACCAACAGUUGGAGCCGCAUCGUACACAGACCAGCACCGGCCGCCCGCCAUUCCCACUCUGCCUGUCGCUGGCGUGACUCCAUGGUUGUCUAUGGCGGGGAGACGCGGGGGGGAAACAUGGCGGCCGAUGUCUGGAGGUAUCGACCACACAGAGGGUGGGACCUACUGAGGCCUAAGGGAACAACAUGGCCGCCACAUAGGGCACAGCAUGCGGCCGCCAUCGUUGGGGACUGGAUGUACAUCAGUGGGGGUAAUUAACAUUAAUUAAUGGGGUAAUUAAUGGGGGAUGGGUCUCUAUGGGUCUCUAUGGGUCCCUAUGGGUCUCUAUGGGUCCCUAUGGGUCCCUAUGUGUCUCUAUGGGUCUCUAUGGGUCUCUAUGGGUCCCUAUGGGUCUCUAUGGGGUCUCUAUGGGUCUCUAUGGGUCUCUAUGGGUCUCUAUGGGUCCCUAUGUGUCUCUAUGGGUCUCUAUGGGUCCCUAUGGGUCUCUAUGGGGUCCCUAUGGGUCUCUAUGGGGUCUCUAUGGGUCUCUGUGGGUCACUAUGGGGUCCCUAUGGGUCUCUAUGGGUCCCUAUGGGGUCUCUAUGGGUCUCUAUGUGUCUCUAUGUGUCUCUAUGGGUCUCUAUGGGUCCCUAUGAGUCUCUAUGGGUCCCUAUGGGUCCCUAUGGGUCUCAAUGGUUCCCUAUUAAUCCCUAUGGGUUGCAAUGAGUCCUCCAAGCCUCUAGGGGGCGCUCUAUGGGUCUCUAUGGGUCUCUAUGGGUCUCUAUGGGGUCUCUAUGGGUCCCUAUGGGUCUCUAUGGGUCCCUAUGGGUCUCUAUGGGGUCUCUAUGGGUCUCUAUGGGUCUCUAUGUGUCGCUAUGGGGUCUCUAUGGGUCUUUAUGGGUCUCUAUGGGUCCCUAUGUGUCUCUAUGGGGUCCCUCUGGGUCCCUAUGUGUCUCUAUGGGUCUCUAUGGUUCCCUAUUAAUCCCUACGGGUUGCAAUGAGUCCUCCAAGCCUCUAGUGGGCGCUCUAUUAAUCUCUAUGGGUCUCUGGGUCUCUAUGGGUCCCUAUGGGUCUCUAUGGGUCUCUAUGGGUCUCUAUGGGUCUCUAUGGGGUCUAUGGCGGCCUAAGGGACAGAUAAAGGGACCCCAUAGGGCACAGCAUGCGGCCGCCAUCGUUGGGGACAGGUUAUACGUCAGUGGGGGUAAUUAGUGAUAAUUAAUGGGGUAAUUAAUGGGGGAAGGGUCUCUAUGGGUCCCUAUGGGUCCCUAUGGGUCCCUAUGGGUCUCUAUGGGUCUCUAUGGGGUCUCUAUGGGUCCCUAUGGGUCUCUAUGGAAUCUCUAUGGGUCCCUAUGUGUCUCUAUGGGUCUCUAUGGGUCUCUAUGGGUCUCUAUGGGUCCCUAUGUGUCUCUAUGGGUCUCUAUGGGGUCUCUAUGGGUCCCUAUGGGUCCCUAUGGGUCUCUAUGGGGUCUCUAUGAGUCUCUAUGGGUCUCUAUGAGUCUCUAUGGGUCUCUAUGGGUCUCUAUGGGUCCCUAUGGGUCCCUAUGUGUCUCUAUGGGUCUCAAUGGUUCCCUAUUAAUCCCUAUGGGUUGCAAUGAGUCCUCCAAGCCUCUAGGGGGUGCUCUAUUAAUCUCUAUGGGUCCCUAUGGGUCUCUAUGGGUCCCUAUGGGUCUGUAUGGGGUCUAUGGCGGCCUAAGGGACGGAUAAAGGGACACCAUAGGGCACAGCAUGCGGCUGUUAUCAUAGGGGACUGGUUAUACGUCAGUGGGGGUAAUUAGCGUUAAUUAAUGUUAAUUAAUGGGGUAAUUAGGGAAUGGGGGGGGUAAUUAAUUAGUUUUUUUCGCCCAACGUGACGUACAGCCAGCUCCGCCCCCAAAACCCCCCCCCGCCCCCCCCCCCCCAAAAAAAUUUUUUUUUUUUUUUUAAAAUUUUUAAUUUUAAAAAACCUUAAAAGCCCCCCCCCCUUUCAGGUUUUUCCUCCCCCA